This 530-nucleotide ribosomal RNA is filed under the name uncultured bacterium. Its description in RNAcentral is "bacterial SSU rRNA". It matches the Rfam family "Bacterial small subunit ribosomal RNA", at positions 266 to 807 of the family's 1533-position model. The record is from RNAcentral.
CCCAAAGGCGACGACGGGUAGCCGGCCUGAGAGGGUGACCGGCCACACUGGGACUGAGACACGGCCCAGACUCCUACGGGAGGCAGCAGUGGGGAAUAUUGCACAAUGGGCGCAAGCCUGAUGCAGCGACGCCGCGUGAGGGAUGACGGCCUUCGGGUUGUAAACCUCUGUUAGCAGGGAAGAAGAGAAAUUGACGGUACCUGCAGAGAAAGCGCCGGCUAACUACGUGCCAGCAGCCGCGGUAAUACGUAGGGCGCGAGCGUUGUCCGGAAUUAUUGGGCGUAAAGAGCUUGUAGGCGGUUUGUCGCGUCUGCUGUGAAAGGCCGGGGCUUAACCCCGUGUAUUGCAGUGGGUACGGGCAGACUAGAGUGCAGUAGGGGAGACUGGAACUCCUGGUGUAGCGGUGGAAUGCGCAGAUAUCAGGAAGAACACCGAUGGCGAAGGCAGGUCUCUGGGCUGUAACUGACGCUGAGAAGCGAAAGCAUGGGGAGCGAACAGGAUUAGAUACCCUGGUAGUCCAUGCCGUAAAC